GACGAACGCUGGCGGCGUGCUUAACACAUGCAAGUCGAACGGAAAGGCCCUGCCGUUGGGGGGCGCGCGAGUGGCGAACGGGUAAGUAACACGUGAGUAACCUGCCCCUGUCUUUGGGAUAACGUCAGCUAACUGUGGUUAAUACCGGAUAGGCGUUCCUCCUGCAUGGUGGGGGUUGGAACGUUUGGGUGGUUGGGGAUGGACUCGCGGCUUUUCGGCUUGUUGGUGGGGUAGUGGCUUACCAAGCCUUGGACGGGUGGCCGGCCUGGGAGGGUGACCGGCCACAUUGGGAUUGGGAUACGGCCCGGACCCCUACGGGAGGAAGCGGUGGGGAAUAUUGCACAAUGGGCGGAGCCCUAAUGCAGCAACGCGGGGGGCGGAAUAACGGCCUUCGGUUUGUAACCCGCUUCCGCAUGUAACGAGGCGUGAGUGACGGUAAUGGGUGAAGAAGCACCGGCUAACUACGUG
Molecule: ribosomal RNA, 468 nt
Filed under: uncultured bacterium
Lineage: Bacteria
Description: partial 16S ribosomal RNA
Rfam family: Bacterial small subunit ribosomal RNA
Source: RNAcentral